This 497-nucleotide ribosomal RNA is filed under the name uncultured bacterium. RNAcentral describes it as "partial 16S ribosomal RNA". It matches the Rfam family "Bacterial small subunit ribosomal RNA", at positions 28 to 507 of the family's 1533-position model. The record is from RNAcentral.
GAUGAACGCUGGCGGCGUGCCUAAUACAUGCAAGUCGAGCGAACGGACGAGAAGCUUGCUUCUCUGAUGUUAGCGGCGGACGGGUGAGUAACACGUGGAUAACCUACCUAUAAGACUGGGAUAACUUCGGGAAACCGGAGCUAAUACCGGAUAAUAUUUUGAACCGCAUGGUUCAAAAGUGAAAGACGGUCUUGCUGUCACGUAUAGAUGGAUCCGCGCUGCAUUAGCUAGUUGGUAAGGUAACGGCUUACCAAGGCAACGAUGCAUAGCCGACCGGUGAGGGGGAUAGGCCACAUUGGAACUGAGACACGGUCCAGACUCCUACGGGAGGCAGCAGUAGGGAAUCUUCCGCAAUGGGCGAAAGCCUGACGGAGCAGCGCCGCGUGAGUGAUGAAGGUCUUCGGAUCGUAAAACUCUGUUAUUAGGGAAGAACAUAUGUGUAAGUAACUGUGCACAGCGUGACGGUAACUAAUCAGAAAGCCACGGCUAACUACGUG